AUUGAACGCUGGCGGCAGGCCUAACACAUGCAAGUCGAACGGUAACAGGAAGAAGCUUGCUUCUUUGCUGACGAGUGGCGGACGGGUGAGUAAUGUCUGGGAAACUGCCUGAUGGAGGGGGAUAACUACUGGAAACGGUAGCUAAUACCGCAUAACGUCGCAAGACCAAAAAGGGGGACCUUCGGGCCUCUUGCCAUCGGAUGUGCCCAGAUGGGAUUAGCUAGUAGGUGGGGUAACGGCUCACCUAGGCGACGAUCCCUAGCUGGUCUGAGAGGAUGACCAGCCACACUGGAACUGAGACACAGUCCAGACUCCUACGGGAGGCAGCAGUGGGGAAUAUUGCACAAUGGGCGCAAGCCUGAUGCAGCCAUGCCGCGUGUAUGAAGAAGGCCUUCGGGUUGUAAAGUACUUUCAGCGGGGAGGAAGGGAGUAAAGUUAAUACCUUUGCUCAUUGACGUUACCCGCAGAAGAAGCACCGGCUAACUCCGUG
RNAcentral lists this ribosomal RNA (490 nucleotides) under uncultured bacterium. RNAcentral's name for it is "partial 16S ribosomal RNA". It matches the Rfam family "Bacterial small subunit ribosomal RNA", at positions 30 to 507 of the family's 1533-position model. The record is from RNAcentral.